CUAGGGCCAGUUCAAGACUGGUUCCAGCCUUAUCCCAGUCAUGAACCAGUUGGUUUCACAUCGGCCAGAGCCAGCCAUGGAGCCGGUGAGAGCAACGUUAUGACGUCACUGCAAACGUCUGCUUACGUCUCCGCUUUCAAAGAUAGCCUUUGUCCGGGUUGCUCCCUCUAACUUGUUCUGGACCUCGGAAGAAGACCAGAAUCCAAGGAGACAGGUUGUCUCCUCCACGGUCCACUGCGUUUUCAUCUUCACGUCCAUUGUUUACUUCAGUGUUUUUAAAAAGGCCGGUCUUCGUUGGUCUUCCUGUUUAUGAAGGUAAGGAUAACCCCGCCCCCUGCCCCUGGCGUAAAGGCAGUUCUCGUUCUAGCCCAGCACAAUCCUGGGGCUGGAGUUGAACCGUUUUUUACAGCCCGGAACCGGUUCUCUGGCCUUGUGAAACCGAAACACUGGCUCUAGCUCCGAACUAGCCCGGAACCUGCUCAGAUUUUGCGGCGGUGUGAAAGGCCUAUGAGAUCCAGAGGAGUGGAAAUUCAAGAUGAAACCAAGCGUAAAACCAAGACGUAGGUUAUUACCUUUAAAGAAGACCCAAGUGGCAAACACCAGACCAGAAGGAGAGCAGAGCCAAGGACGAAAGUGCAGUCAGUCAGUCAGGGGAGCUUCCAAGGAUCUAUUCUGAAUGGGUGCAGAGAGUUUCAAUCCCAGUUAUCAAAGGUCUCCUGGAUGACCUUUGGCAGCAGAAAGUGUUCAAUACUGAGGACAAGGACACUGUGAUGGAGAACCACAAGAUCAGAGUGGAACGAGCACGUUGUCUGAUCGACAUGGUGAUCGGGAAAAGGGAGAGAGCAAGUCAGAUAAUGAUUGAUAGUAUGAAGGAGAGAGACAUUGAAUUAUGCAUCACCUUGGGCCUGAUCUCUUUGAUUUUAGUAAUUUUAAAGAAACGCACUGCCAACUUUGUUUUGACAAGACAAGCUGAAAAAGUAAUUGCUGCUGUAGAUAGGAAUUUUGUUACAUUUUAUUAUAAUAAUUUUAAUAUGGUUGUUAUCAUGGAGUUUAAUGAAUA
Molecule: long non-coding RNA, 1060 nt
Organism: Gadus chalcogrammus (walleye pollock)
Lineage: Eukaryota; Metazoa; Chordata; Actinopteri; Gadiformes; Gadidae
Exons: 4
Source: RefSeq, a predicted model, not a curated record